GGAUGUGAGGGCAAUCUGACUGUGCCAUCUGUCACCCCAUUGAUCGCCAGGGCUGUUUCAGCUGAUCUGGCUGGCUAGGCAGGUGUCGCCUUCCUCCCUCCCCGCUCCAUGUGUGUCCCUCCCAAAGCCACGUGCUCUGUCGAAGAGGACGACCUUCCGGCUAGAGAAGGACCAUUCUUCCGUCAAGGCUAUACGAGUAGCUGUGCUCCCCUGCUAGAACCUCCAAACCAGCUCUCAAGAACUGAGCUGACCUCUCAAAGGCCAGUUUCAUGAAAUGACCCCUGAGGGCAAGAACGUGCCUCUGC
RNAcentral lists this small nuclear RNA (305 nucleotides) under Dasypus novemcinctus (nine-banded armadillo). RNAcentral's name for it is "7SK RNA (ENSDNOG00000043847.1)". It matches the Rfam family "7SK RNA". From Rfam's summary of the family: 7SK was discovered as an abundant small nuclear RNA in the mid-70s but a possible function has only recently been suggested. Two independent studies have found that 7SK RNA binds the CDK9/cyclin T complex (known as elongation factor P-TEFb). P-TEFb activates transcription by phosphorylating the C-terminal domain of RNA polymerase II. Lineage: Eukaryota; Metazoa; Chordata; Mammalia; Cingulata; Dasypodidae. The record is from RNAcentral.